Zophobas morio is the source of this 253-nucleotide long non-coding RNA. RefSeq lists it as uncharacterized. The record is from RefSeq and is a predicted model, not a curated record. The transcript has 2 exons. NCBI's taxonomy places the organism in Eukaryota, Metazoa, Arthropoda, Insecta, Coleoptera, Tenebrionidae.
UGCCCUUCUGGGGACCCGAACCGGCAAUCACGCCUUCGGUCGCCCUCUCGAACGAACUCGUAAAGCAAUAUACCCAUAGACGCCAUGAGCAGAUAUGGGCGACGUUGAGCAGCUGUCGGCAUAGUAGAGCUUGGACAAACUGCGUAAACUGGUAGGAUUCCUUACGGGACAUUACCAGUUUAACAAACAUCUACAUACGAUAGGGGUAGUAACAGACCCAAUCUGUCGUGGAUGCAAUGAAGAAGAGGAAACA